GGGCGCGUAGCUCAGUUGGUAGAGCAAUUGACUUUUAAUCAAUGGGUCGUGGGUUCGAAUCCCGCCGCGCUCACCA
This 76-nucleotide transfer RNA is filed under the name Alphaproteobacteria bacterium. RNAcentral describes it as "tRNA-Lys". It matches the Rfam family "tRNA". From Rfam's summary of the family: Transfer RNA (tRNA) molecules are approximately 80 nucleotides in length. RNAcentral also lists the same sequence under 2 other names. The record is from RNAcentral. Lineage: Bacteria; Pseudomonadati; Pseudomonadota; Alphaproteobacteria.